GCCCUCUCUCCUUGCUCAGUGCUGUGCAAAAAUAAAAUUCCUACUUUCUUCCACCACACCCAGAGUCAUAGAUUGGCUUGCUGUGCAACGAGUGAGCGAACUCACUUCAGGUUUGGUAACAAUUUGGUGACCCAGAUGGGACAAUGUCUCAGGUGGACGUCUCACCUGGGGCACACCGGCCUCUGGCUAAAGGCCUCUCUUGGAAGCUGUCCUGCAGCUGCCUGAGCCCCUUGUCUCAGGGACAGCCCCAAGCGACUGGCUGCUAACCAGACGAUGUUGGCCCACGAUGCUUUUGCUUUGGUGGUGGAAGAAACUAGGUUUAGGACUCAGGAAGACGUCUCUUCCCCCUGGUACAUAGUUGUAUAUUCUUCGUUGUGGGUCCUUCUAGUUGUGGCUUGUGGGGCGCUGCCUCAGCAUGGUUUGAUGAGCAGUGCCAUGUCCAUGCCCAGGAUUCGAACCAACGAAACACUGGGCCGCCUGCAGCAGAGUGCGUGAACUUAACCACUCGGUCACGGGGCCAACCCCUCACGGAGUUUUUGUAGACGAUAUAAAUAUAAUUGCUAAGAACAGGACACAAUUGGAAACACUGGUUAUAUUACCAAGGCUUUGACUGGAACAUCAUAUUUGAAAAAACAUACCGGCUUAAAUAUUACAAGACAGCUUUUGAGGAAUGAAGGUUGACAUUCCGGAAUAAAGCCACUUGGAAAUAUUGGCCUGGUACUGUGCUUAUGGGUUCUGUAACCUG
This 745-nucleotide long non-coding RNA is filed under the name Equus asinus (donkey). RNAcentral's name for it is "lncRNA (ENSEASG00005026670.1)". The record is from RNAcentral. Lineage: Eukaryota; Metazoa; Chordata; Mammalia; Perissodactyla; Equidae.